AGUAUAUUGAUGACGAUAGUAAUAAUCCAAUUUUUAAGAUGGUUUACCACACUUAACGAUGCCUUCUCCACGUCAACCACAGAAAUGCAAGAAUGAAUCAGCUGAAAAAGAAGUUACGAAACCCCAAACCUGGCAAUUAAAAAGGAAAAUAGGCCAGGCACAGUGGCUGACACCUGUAAUCCCAGCACUUUGGGGAGCCAAGGUGGGUGAAUGAUGAGGUCAGGAGAUGGAGACCAUCCUGGCUAACACAGUGAACCCCAUCUCUGCUAAACAACAACAAAUAAAUAAAUAAAUAAGCUGAGUCCCGUGGCACGCACCUGUAGUCCCAGCUACUCUGGAGGCUGAGGCAGGAGAAUCAUUUGAACUCGGGAAGUAGAGGUUGCAGUGAGCUGAGAUCAUGCCACCGCACUCCAGCCUGGAUGACAGCAAGACUGCAUCUCUAAAAAAGGAAGAAAAAGCAUAGAGGAGAAAACCAAGGGCCACCUCCACAGCCGUCAUGUCUGGGAAGGUUAAACUGGGACAGCUUAUCAGCAGCUGCCUCUUGAUGACGACACAGCUGGAAAAUAAGUCAAAAAUGCUGCCAACAGAACUCACCAUGUGGUCCAUCAAACGCCCACCUGAGUGAACGCAUGGCAGCACGCGCAGUGCAGCUCCGCUGGCCGGGAGGUCCAGCUUCCACACACCGAAGCUUCCUCAGAGACAGCUGCCACCAGAGUUGCUGCAAGAACACGUUUUUCACUAGGUGUAGCUUCACUGUCAGCUCAAGGAGAAGACUGAGAUGUCAUUUCUUUUUAGAAGAUCGUGGUUUAGGAAGAACAUGACAAUAUGGAGAACAGAGGUUCACUUCUUGAAUUCAAGUAAAACCAAGAAUGACUGUAAGUUUUUCUCUGAUACAGUGUGCCUGCGUGCUCUGUGAAGAAUCCUUUUCCACUGCCCCCAUCUGUCUGGGUGAAUGGAGAGGAAGGGUGGCAAGGUGCCCGUAUACUAGCAGGCACUCCUGGUGAUGCCCUGGGUUCUGCUCCUUUUCUGCUGGUGGUAGAAGACUUCUUUUUUGGCAGCUGCAGCAGCUUGAUGUGGAGGAGGAAGGGGCCACCCACCAAUCACCUUUUCUUUUGUUUUGAGACAGAGUCUCACUUUGUCCCUCAGGCUGGAGUAGAGUGGUGCAAUCUCAAGUCACUGAAGCCUCGGCUGCCCCGUUCAAAUGAUUCUCAUGCCUCAGCCUCCUGAGUAGCUGGGAUUACCAGCAUGUGCCACCACGCCUGACUAAUUUUUUUAUUUUUAGUAGAGAUGGGUUUUCACCAUGUUGGCCAGGCUGGUCUCAAACUCCUGUUCUCAGGUGAUCCUGCCACCUCUGCCUCCCAAAGUGCUGGGAUUACAGGUGUGAGCCACCAUGCCCCACCCAAUCACCUCUUCUUGAAGCCGUGAUUUUUGCAUUCAUGGAAGACGUCUGUCUUAGAGCCCACAAAACUGGCAAUCUUUGGGCAGCCAUUUCUAUUUUUGACACAGUCUUCUGGUAGCAACACCAGGCUGCUUGCAGCAGAAGAUCAAAUCAGGGUGAUCUUUAGCCAUCGCUCCCAACGACACCAGCCACCGGGCCACCUAUUAAGAUAACUCUGAACCCAAAGCAUAAACACAUCUUUCUCUGUUUAGAAAUCAUUCCCUUCCUUUCAUGAAUUCACCUCAUUCAGAAAUAGUUUCUUUUUUCUCAUCUCCAAAUCGCUCCAGGUUCAGGAACUGACAUUUCAGUUGCUUAGCCAUGCCUUCCAACACUGUUCAGACAUGUACGCAUUCGGGGUUGUGAACUUAUUUCCACACUGGGGAGAGAGCUGGUCCCUGGGGGUGAGCAGGACAUGGACAGGUCAAGUCACUACUGGUCCUGCUUCAUGAGCAGGCAUCCAAGGGAAGCUUCAUAGCAACCUAUGUUUCGUACCAUCUGGUGCACAUAUCAGUGUUUUCCACAAGGUAAUAAAGGGGGAAAUAAACAUCUUCAGUCCCUCUCAGAGAGAGGCUAGUCUUCUUAAGAGUCCACACUCAUCGAGUUCAGAAUCUCCAAUCCCGCCUCUGCCCUACACAGGUGAAUGCUGUCUUCUCAUUGCCCAGAUGAGGACACUGAGGCUCAGUGUCACUAGUCACACAACUGAGGAAGGUUCGUGCUGGGUGGGGGCUCAGCUCCGGCUGACCGAAAGCUGCCCUAUGUGCCACUUUGAUGUGUCCACUUCCAGUGAACCAAGGUUGGGAACAACAGGUUGCCUUGUUUAUAGUUGGUGACAUGGUCUGACUGCCUUUCUUG
Long non-coding RNA from Callithrix jacchus (white-tufted-ear marmoset), 2290 nucleotides. RefSeq lists it as uncharacterized. The record is from RefSeq and is a predicted model, not a curated record. NCBI's taxonomy places the organism in Eukaryota, Metazoa, Chordata, Mammalia, Primates, Cebidae.